UACGUAGGGUGCGAGCGUUGUCCGGAAUUAUUGGGCGUAAAGAGCUCGUAGGCGGCUUGUCGCGUCGGAUGUGAAAGCCCGGGGCUUAACUCCGGGUCUGCAUUCGAUACGGGCAGACUAGAGUUCGGUAGGGGAGAUCGGAAUUCCUGGUGUAGCGGUGAAAUGCGCAGAUAUCAGGAGGAACACCGGUGGCGAAGGCGGAUCUCUGGGCCGAUACUGACGCUGAGGAGCGAAAGCGUGGGGAGCGAACAGG
This 253-nucleotide ribosomal RNA is filed under the name uncultured bacterium. RNAcentral's name for it is "partial 16S ribosomal RNA". It matches the Rfam family "Bacterial small subunit ribosomal RNA", at positions 524 to 776 of the family's 1533-position model. The record is from RNAcentral.